GGGCAUGUAGCAUAAUGGAUAAUGCAUCAACCUUCUAAGUUGCCGAUUGUAGGUUCGAGUCCUACCAUGCCUG
This 73-nucleotide transfer RNA is filed under the name Synechococcus phage S-CREM1. It matches the Rfam family "tRNA". Rfam says of the family: Transfer RNA (tRNA) molecules are approximately 80 nucleotides in length. Their secondary structure includes four short double-helical elements and three loops (D, anti-codon, and T loops). Further hydrogen bonds mediate the characteristic L-shaped molecular structure. tRNAs have two regions of fundamental functional importance: the anti-codon, which is responsible for specific mRNA codon recognition, and the 3' end, to which the tRNAs corresponding amino acid is attached (by aminoacyl-tRNA synthetases). tRNAs cope with the degeneracy of the genetic code in two manners: having more than one tRNA (with a specific anti-codon) for a particular amino acid; and 'wobble' base-pairing, i.e. permitting non-standard base-pairing at the 3rd anti-codon position. Lineage: Duplodnaviria; Heunggongvirae; Uroviricota; Caudoviricetes; Pantevenvirales; Kyanoviridae. The record is from Rfam by way of RNAcentral.